UUUGGAGAUUCAUUACAAAACUGUUUUCUGUACGUUACAUUUCAAGAAGGUUAUAUAUUAAAAAUGUCCAAACGGCCAUAUUUUUCACAAUAUGAAAGUCCGAAUAUUGUUAUCGUGCCUACAGUUUCAUUUUGUGGUGCAUCAGCGAAGAAAAAUGAAAUUAUCUCUCCAUGUUGACGAAGUACAACCCAAAAAUGGCCGGACAUUGGAAAAAGGCACCUGCAGCUCAAGUACAUUGGAAAAUAAUUGUUCAUCGAGUAAGAAUACAAAUAGCUCAAACAUUAGUAUGGCGACAAAUAACAAUAUAAACAUCAUCCACGUAAAUCCUAUAAAGCUUAACCGACUAACACAAGAUAGCAAGCCCAGUGACAAAAUAUCGAAGUUGUCCGAAAGCAAUGAAAAGUCUUCAAUGCGUGAAAAAAAUAAUAAACAAAAUAAUCUAGUUGAAAAAGAAAACAAAAAACAUAUUUCGCAAUCCUCCAUUGAGGUAGAAAUAAAUUUAGAUUCAAAAGCACAUAAGGAUAUUGCAAACACCAAAAAAAAUUCGCUCAAAACCAUAAACAAAAACUCGGGUAAUUCUACAAAUAAAAGAAAUGCAAUAACGAGGGGACUCGUCUAAAAAGUGCUGAGAAUAUUUCAUCCUCGCAUAAAGACAAAAAACACAGCAAGCCUGAUAAAAUUAGUGCUCACAAAAGGUCACACGUUUCACUUCACAUUACUAAAGAAAUAUCCGAAAAAUGUGAUAAAAAUACGGAUUCUAAAAUAAGUAAGAAUAGACAUAAACAGUCCGACAAACUUAUAAAACAAGAUAGUCAUGAUCAAUGUAGGGCAGAACAACAAAAAUGUAAAAAAUCAUGUCAAGAUAAAAUUCCCCAUAAAUCGAGAAGUGAAAAAUGGACCUUGGUAAGACAAUAUUAAUGGACGACAUUAAUAUUAAUUACGGCUCCAAUAGAAAUGAACCAAAGCAGCAGGGUUGCAAAAAAGAUCAUGCAAGUAAAUGCAAACAUAUAAUUGAAAGACACAGUGAUAAAAAAGUUAAGCAUCAUUCGAUAUCUAAAAGCAAACACACAUGUAAAACUAAAAGUACUUUAACUAACCAGGAAAAGUGCAAAAUACAAAAAGCAAGCGAGGCAACCAAAUAUAACAC
Long non-coding RNA from Manduca sexta (tobacco hornworm), 1147 nucleotides. RefSeq lists it as uncharacterized. The transcript has 3 exons. NCBI's taxonomy places the organism in Eukaryota, Metazoa, Arthropoda, Insecta, Lepidoptera, Sphingidae. The record is from RefSeq and is a predicted model, not a curated record.